Molecule: ribosomal RNA, 484 nt
Filed under: uncultured bacterium
Lineage: Bacteria
Description: partial 16S ribosomal RNA
Rfam family: Bacterial small subunit ribosomal RNA
Source: RNAcentral
AUUGAACGCUGGCGGCAGGCCUAACACAUGCAAGUCGAGCGGAUGAAGGGAGCUUGCUCCUGGAUUCAGCGGCGGACGGGUGAGUAAUGCCUAGGAAUCUGCCUGGUAGUGGGGGAUAACGUCCGGAAACGGGCGCUAAUACCGCAUACGUCCUGAGGGAGAAAGUGGGGGAUAUUCGGACCUCACGCUAUCAGAUGAGCCUAGGUCGGAUUAGCUAGUUGGUGGGGUAAAGGCCUACCAAGGCGACGAUCCGUAACUGGUCUGAGAGGAUGAUCAGUCAGACUGGAAGUGAGAAGCGGGCAGGACGCCUAGGGGGGGCAGCGGUGGGGAAUUUUGGAGAAUGGGCGAAAGCCUGAUCUAGCCAUGCCGCGUGUGUGAAGAAGGUCUUCGGAUUGUAAAGCACUUUAAGUUGGGAGGAAGGACAGUAAUUGAAUACCUGGCUGUUUUGACGUUACCAACAGAAGAAGCACCGGCUAACUUCGUG